UUGAGGACAUCGCCAUGUUUAUUUACAUUAUUUACCUUUCGCGCGCGAGAAAAAUUUGUCUGGUUGGCCGAGUUCGCAUUGCGUUUUAGAAAGUCCAGUUACGAUGGCCUCUGUUCUGUUCCGUGGCUCGCUCCUGGCGAAUAAUAUGAAAAAAACAGCCGAUUUAAGGACCGUUCUUAUGAAACGGCAGAAACGUCCCGCCGAACAAUUUAAUUCGCUUCCUGGGACGAUAAAGGAAGAUUUCGGCCCCGAAUGACCCACACUACAGGGGAAAAAAAAACACCAAUUUCAGGGCCGCCGCGCAGAAGUUGAAAAUCCACCGGGUGGUCGAAUGCCCGAACAAAGAUAGCAUGAAAGUGGCAGUGGAAAUCGGCACUGAUCAUCACGAAAUACAAAGAUAACCGACAAUGAAUUCAUGGCGCAAAACCCACAGAUGGAUACGAUGUUCUCCCUCAUCCUGGCUACGGACCGGAUCCUAUGCUGGAAUGUACAAAGAGCCACCGUGUUGUAAGAGAUGUUGCGAUUUACAACUAGUGAAAAAAUACAUGCGAUCAUGGAAUAAAAUUAUAAGCUGUUCAUUGCGA
Molecule: long non-coding RNA, 584 nt
Organism: Armigeres subalbatus
Lineage: Eukaryota; Metazoa; Arthropoda; Insecta; Diptera; Culicidae
Exons: 3
Source: RefSeq, a predicted model, not a curated record